UCCUGCAACAUAUCAAAUCCCAAUUGUUACUUUUGGAGACUCUUUCUUUAAGGUAAAAAAAUCAAAGUUCUAAAAUGGUAAGACAGAAAGAUGAAAAUGCUGAUUUUGUAUUCCAUCUUAGUGGUUGGCUGGGAAAGACCAAGAAAAACUGUUCUUUUUUAGGUUAGUUCUGCUGUUCCCAUUUAAUUCCAGCAACUUAAAUAUGCCUUUGAAAUUAACUCUUUUCUUCAAAAUAGCAGAGGCCGUUUUUUAUUUAAGGAGCUUUAACUUUGUAAAUUUGAAGAUGAGAGUUUAAUUUCAAAUCCAUUCUCAUAUUCCCCUGUCAUUCCCCCAAGUAAAUUUCUCAAGAAAUCAACAGAAAAAAAUAGCAGCUUCUUGAGGGAGAAAAGUGAAUUUCUCGAGAAACAAACAGAACAGAUAGAAAACUAACCAUCGCUAGUUGGAGCUGGAGCUGGAGAAGAAGAAAGUUCAGCUGAAGAUACAGACAGAGCAAGGACAUAAAAGACAGCAAUAAGCACAGCAGCAUAGAUUCCAAAACAAGAAGCCCUCAAAACAGCCAUCUCUGUCUCUCUCAGAAGAACCCUAGAGAGAGACAGAAGAACAAGAAGAAGAAAUGCGAAGGUUAUGAAUGAGGAGAAUGGAAAUGGAGGAAUUGGGGAUUUAAUACUGUUUAUGUUUGAACCGUAAGCUUUGGGAAUCCAAGCAAAGCCAUGUGAUUCUUCAUUCUCUCUUUGUAAAGAUUCCUUAUUUUUUAUGCUUUUGCUGUGCUGGAUAGACAGACUGUUAGUUGAUUGUGCUGGAACUCAA
Cucumis melo (muskmelon) is the source of this 807-nucleotide long non-coding RNA. RefSeq lists it as uncharacterized. The record is from RefSeq and is a predicted model, not a curated record. The transcript has 2 exons. NCBI's taxonomy places the organism in Eukaryota, Viridiplantae, Streptophyta, Magnoliopsida, Cucurbitales, Cucurbitaceae.